ACGGUCACACCCGUUCCCAUCCCGAACACGGUAGUUAAGCUUCUCUGCGCCAAUGGUAGUUGGGGGCUUCCCCCUGCGAGAGUAGGUCGCUGCCGGGC
RNAcentral lists this ribosomal RNA (98 nucleotides) under Listeria monocytogenes. The record is from RNAcentral. Lineage: Bacteria; Bacillati; Bacillota; Bacilli; Caryophanales; Listeriaceae.